This 4720-nucleotide unclassified non-coding RNA is filed under the name Portunus trituberculatus (swimming crab). Its description in RNAcentral is "cytoplasmic dynein 1 light intermediate chain 2-like, transcript variant X6". Lineage: Eukaryota; Metazoa; Arthropoda; Malacostraca; Decapoda; Portunidae. The record is from RNAcentral.
CGAUGCCCUUUUGUUUCAUUGAGAGUCGAAGAGGAAAAGUCUUGGUGUUUAUAGUGAUGGUGAUGACAACAUGGCGCUGGGCGGGGUAAGGUCUGCCCUCUCUGGGCUUUCCGACCUUCGCAAGGAGAAGGCUGAAGAGAAGGAGAACCUGUGGAAGAAGAUUCUCGGCGAGGUUCAGUCCAGCGAAAGGAACAAGCUGCCGUCAUGCAAAUCUGUGCUGGUGCUGGGUGACAAUGAGUCGGGCAAGACCACGUUGAUUGCCAAGCUUCAGGGCAAUGAGGACCCCAAGAAAGGCUCAGGACUGGAGUAUGCUUAUAUUGAUGUGCGCGAUGAAUACAGAGAUGACCACACAAGACUCAGCGUUUGGGUGCUGGAUGGCGAACCGGUCCAUGGUGAACUGCUGGAGUAUGCCAUGAGCCCCAAGAAUCUGGAACACACUUUGAUCCUCCUGACAGUGUCCAUGACCACUCCUUGGGGGAUCAUGGACCAGCUGCACACUUGGGCCUCCACACUGCAGGACCACAUUGAUAAGCUGAACCUCGACCCGGACUAUUUCAAGGAACGCCAGGAUAAGAUGUCCAGGCUAUGGCAAGACUAUGUGGAGCCUGGAGAUGAGCUGGAGGCCGGGUCACCAAUGAAAAGGUCCUCUCGUAACCUGGACGGAGAUGAUGAUCCUGUCUUGCCACUUGCUGAGAACGUAUUGACCAGAAACCUUGGCCUGCAUGUCAUUGUGGUGGUUACUAAGACAGAUUACAUGUCAACACUGGAGAAGGAUUUUGACUAUAAGGAGGAGCACUUUGACUUCAUCCAGCAAUCAAUAAGGAAGUUUUGCCUGCAGUACGGUGCCGCGCUAUUUUAUACCUCGGUCAAGGAGGACAAGAACUGCGACCUCCUGUACAAGUAUCUAGUCCAUAAAAUUUACAACUUCCCCUUCAGAACUCCUGCGCUGGUGGUCGAGAAGGAUGCUGUGUUCAUACCAGCAGGAUGGGACAACGAGAAGAAGAUCGCCAUCCUUUACGAGAACAUGCACACCAUGACGCCGGAGGAUUACUACACAGACGUCAUUGUUCGCCCGCCUGUUGUACGCAAGGCCAUGACGAGAGAAAUAGAGGUGCAGGUGGAGGAGGAGCAGGCCUUCUUGGCGCGGCACUUGGCACAGCUACAGGCGGGCGGCACCGGGGCACCCCACACACCCCAGGGCCGCCAGGAGUCCCCCCUCAGGCAGUCCCCGGCAGUGCAGAAGACCAGCGACAGGAGGGUGACCACUGGAGUCCCCGCCAACCAGAUCGGAUCCCCCAAGAAGAUAUGGAGGCCGACAUCAGCUGAGAUGAACAAGCCAGGCGGUCCGGGGCCCAGCGAGGGAGUCCUGGCUAACUUCUUCAACUCACUCCUCAGUAAGAAGACGGCCAUCAACAGCCCCCCCACCGCCGGCAUCAAGACUAAUGCAGAUAAGGCAGCGAUGAGGUCCGACGCAGCUGCAGAAUUAGACCGGCUGACUCGGAGUAAGAAGACCCCCAUCCCCCCCACCGCCGCCACCACCAACAGCACCCCAAACCCCGCCACCCCCAACAACACCGCCACCACCACUGACACCAACUCCUCGGAAUGUUGACUGACGAGGAGUCCGUUUGUGGUCUAAAAAAUUAUCCCUCCCCUGUCUGUCUGUCUGUGUGUCUGUAGGGGGGGCUAAACAGGGCGGGAGGGGGGGCCGGUGGUGUUGAUUCAUUCCUGUGUAUAUCGUUGGUUUAAUUUUUUCACCCUCAACACCGCCACCACCACCACCACCACCAGCACCACCAGGAAGGCUACCACACUGCACUUACCCAUUGCUGUGUUAUUAAGCCUCUAGUGCCUAUGUGCGUGUGUGUGUGCGUGCGUGUGUGCGUGUGUGUUUACCCUGGGGUCUGGAGGGUAGGGUCCAGGGGGAGGGGGUGGUCUAGAGAGGGUGUAUGAGGGGGGGGCAUAUUGCAAAGCCUGUAUCAUAUUUUUCUUAUUUAUUGUUAAUUUUAUAUACAUUUGCUUCUAUGCUAUGUCCUGGCUGUAUGCAUUGCUUGUGUGUGUGUGUGUGUGUGUGUGUGUGUGUGUGUGUGUGUGUGUGUGUGUGUGUGUGUGAGUGUGUUGUGGUGAAACUUGACUUACUUUAGGAGAGAAGUUAUUGUAGGGAGGGGUGAUGUAAUGUAUUUGUUUGUGUAUAUAUAUAGUUCUUGUUCUCUCUCUCUCUCUCUCUCUCUCUCUCUCUCUCUCUCUCUCUCUCUCUCUCUCUCUCUCUCUCUCUCUCUCUCUCUCUCUCUCUCUCUCUCUCUCUCUCUCUCUCUCUCUCUCUCUCUCCAAAAAUUUACUCUUAUUAUUUUUUCCUCAUUUUUAUCAUUUUCUUUUGUAUCCCUUCAAAAAAAUACCACUGUCUUUUCACCACAGACCUUUAAAUACUCCCGUUUUCUUUGGCAGUGUCACAUAAUGCAUAUCCAGAGCAAUAAGGCUCAGAACCAGAUGAAAAUAUCCUUGAUUUUCACCCUUACCUGACUUUGUACUGUUAAUAGUCUUUGGUUCUUGAGGUGAGGUUUGGUUACUGUCUGUCUGUCUGUCUGUCUGUCUGUCUGUCUGUCUUUCUGUCUAUCUAUCUGUCUGUCUGAAUAUAUUAAGCUUUUGGGAAGGUCAUAGGCCACUAACUGUGUGAGAAAGGUGUGUGUGUGUGUGUGUGUGUGUGUGUGUGUGUGUGUGUGUGUGUGUGUGUGUGUGUGUGUGUGUGUGUGUGUGUGAGAGAGAGAGAGAGAGAGAGAGAGAGAGAGAGAGAGAGAGAGAGAGAGAGAGAGAGAGAGAGUUUAGAUAUCAGGUAUUAUAAGAUAUACUGAAGAGGAAAACCAAUUAUUCAACAUUAUAACAUCCCAGUGAAAACACACACACACACACACACACACACACACACACACACACACACACACACACACACACACACACACACACACACACACACACACACACACACACACACACACACACACCACCACCACCACCACCACCACCACCACCACCACCACCACCAGCCAGAGCAUUAUUAACCAAAUGAACAAGUUAAUAAAUAGAUAAAUAAUUAAUAAAGUAGCAAAUACAACACUCAAUGCUUUAUUUAGGCUUGAAAUCAUCUUAACUAUUUAUAUCCUUGAAAAAUAUUAUGGUUUUUUUAAGGCAAUUUACACCAAAAAUGCAGACCUGUUCUAUUGUGCAGGUGUGUGGCCCUACCUGUGAUAGUAACAGGUGUGUAGACUCGUUACCUUUGAAUCUGAGGUGUGUACAGGUGUGUUAGUUACCUGUGAGGUGCGACACAUUUGUAAUCAUAUUGCGAAGUGACCCACAAAUCUGUACUGGGAGAUGUACAGGUGUGGUGGGGUCCAGGACAGUUGUGGGGGGGCUUAACGACUCACAGGUACACACCCUUGCAUCCUUCACAGGUGUGUGUGGCACUGUGACCUCAAAAGACACACCUUAGGGUCACUUUACUGUAGCCAGUGUGUGCAGUCUUGUAAUGCUGGGCUGGGCAGGUGUGGGGCUGUCACGGGCUUGUAACAUAAUGACCUAACGAUUCUAGGCAGGUGUGUUGGGCUCCAAACCUGUAUUCUAAAAUGCUUUGUUCUCUCACCACUACUUCUCAAGGCCACAGAGAUGACUAGCAGGGUUUUCAAGAGUGUUUUCCAGUUAGUAAUGUGGAAAUGUUGUCACUCUGCCUCUAGAACCAUAAAAAAAACUUGCUUAAAACACUUCUUUCCCACCACAACUGUUUUCCAAAGCCACAGAGAUGACUAGUGGGGUUUUCAAGAGUGUUUCUCCAGUUAAUAGUGUAAAAAUGUUAUCACUCUGUCUGUAAAACUGUAAGAACACCUUAAAAAACUCAUGUAAAUUUAGAUAAAGCCUUUUGAAAUAGUGGAGAUGAAGCAUAGAAGUGUUUGAGAAUACAAGUCUGACAUCUGUACUCUGAAACACUCUGCUCUCUCAUCAGGACUGUUUUACAAGGCCACACAGACAAUUAGCGAGGUUUUCAAGACACUUUCUCCCUUUAAGAAACCAGAAAUCUUGUCAGUCUAUCACCAGGAACAUAAAAAUACCCUUAAAAACAUGAACAUCAACCUGCAAGGGGACUGGAAAGUAAGUGGGCCUUUUUUUUAGUGUUUGUUGCCCUUUUCCAGCCUUCCCAUCUUACUUAAAGAAUCGAGAGCUUUGUAAAGUAGUGAUGGUGAGAGACAAGCAUUCAGAGUACAGAACCUUUGUCACCCCUGUGUGUGUCACGUGUGUGUGUCACUGCAGGUGUGUAAAGGAUAGUACACGCCUGUUAGCCUUGGAGUAUUGAUGUAUAUAGGUGACAGAAUGAUUACUACUACUACUACUAUUACUAUUACUACUACUACAACAGCAGCUGUACAUGUUAUUGUCUUGUCUCAGCGUAGACUUUCCCAACGUGAUACACACACACACAAAAAAAAAAAAAAAAAAUUAAGGAAACGUAUUUUUUUUUCGCUGAGGAAGAAAAAAAAAGUUUAAUUGUUCUUUUUUCCUCGUUAAAAAAUAGAAAUAAAAAGAAUGUCUAUUUGUUAAUUUAUCUUACGAAAUGAUGAUGAUGAUAAGAAUAAAUAAAGAUAAAUGCUGUUAUGGUUUUCAGAAAGAUAUUUUACAUUUUUGCCAUUGCAGAGAAAUUGUAAAAACAUGAAAAUACGACAUUUGUGAUAACUCC